RNAcentral lists this ribosomal RNA (506 nucleotides) under uncultured Actinomycetes bacterium. RNAcentral describes it as "bacterial SSU rRNA". It matches the Rfam family "Bacterial small subunit ribosomal RNA", at positions 89 to 610 of the family's 1533-position model. The record is from RNAcentral. Lineage: Bacteria; Bacillati; Actinomycetota; Actinomycetes.
GGAUUAGCGGCGAACGGGUGAGGAACACGUGAGGAAUCUGCCUUCAACACUGGGAUAACUCCGGGAAACCGGGGCUAAUACCGGAUACGAGACCUGCAGGCAUCUGCGGGUCUGGAAAGUUUUUCGGUUGAAGAUGACCUCGCGGCCUAUCAGCUUGUUGGUGAGGUAAUGGCUCACCAAGGCGACGACGGGUAGCCGGCCUGAGAGGGCGACCGGCCACACUGGGACUGAGACACGGCCCAGACUCCUACGGGAGGCAGCAGUGGGGAAUAUUGGGCAAUGGAGGGAACUCUGACCCAGCGACGCCGCGUGCGGGAUGAAGGCCUUCGGGUUGUAAACCGCUUUCAGCAAGGAAGAAGCGAAAGUGACGGUACUUGCAGAAGAAGCACCGGCUAACUAUGUGCCAGCAGCCGCGGUAAUACAUAGGGUGCAAGCGUUGUCCGGAAUUAUUGGGCGUAAAGAGCUCGUAGGUGGUUCGUCACGUCGGAUGUGAAAAUCUGGGGCUU